GAUGAACGCUAGCUACAGGCUUAACACAUGCAAGUCGAGGGGCAUCAGGAAGAAAGCUUGCUUUCUUUGCUGGCGAUCGGCGCACGGGUGAGUAACACGUAUCCAACCUGCCCUUUACUCGGGGAUAGCCUUUCGAAAGAAAGAUUAAUACCCGAUAGCAUAAUGAUUCCGCAUGGUUUCAUUAUUAAAGGAUUCCGGUAAAGGAUGGGGAUGCGUUCCAUUAGGUUGUUGGUGAGGUAACGGCUCACCAAGCCUUCGAUGGAUAGGGGUUCUGAGAGGAAGGUCCCCCACAUUGGAACUGAGACACGGUCCAAACUCCUACGGGAGGCAGCAGUGAGGAAUAUUGGUCAAUGGGCGGUAGCCUGAACCAGCCAAGUAGCGUGAAGGAUGAAGGCUCUAUGGGUCGUAAACUUCUUUUAUAUAAGAAUAAAGUGCAGUAUGUAUACUGUUUUGUAUGUAUUAUAUGAAUAAGGAUCGGCUAACUCCGUGCCAGCAGCCGCGGUAAUACGGAGGAUCCGAGCGUUAUCCGGAUUUAUUGGGUUUAAAGGGAGCGUAGGUGGACUGGUAAGUCAGUUGUGAAAGUUUGCGGCUCAACCGUAAAAUUGCAGUUGAUACUGUCAGUCUUGAGUACAGUAGAGGUGGGCGGAAUUCGUGGUGUAGCGGUGAAAUGCUUAGAUAUCACGAAGAACUCCGAUUGCGAGGACAGCUCACUGGACUGCAACUGACACUGAUGCUCGAAAGUGUGGGUAUCAAACAGG
RNAcentral lists this ribosomal RNA (758 nucleotides) under uncultured bacterium. RNAcentral describes it as "bacterial SSU rRNA". It matches the Rfam family "Bacterial small subunit ribosomal RNA", at positions 28 to 776 of the family's 1533-position model. The record is from RNAcentral.